Non-coding RNA from Aquiflexum balticum DSM 16537, 76 nucleotides. The record is from Rfam. Lineage: Bacteria; Pseudomonadati; Bacteroidota; Cytophagia; Cytophagales; Cyclobacteriaceae.
AAGAGCCGUGUGAGGUGAGAGUCUCACGCACGGUUCUGUGGGAAGGUGAGGGUGAAAUUCCCUUGCCUGACCCGAU